Hypanus sabinus (Atlantic stingray) is the source of this 1998-nucleotide long non-coding RNA. RefSeq lists it as uncharacterized. The transcript is spliced from 3 exons. NCBI's taxonomy places the organism in Eukaryota, Metazoa, Chordata, Chondrichthyes, Myliobatiformes, Dasyatidae. The record is from RefSeq and is a predicted model, not a curated record.
UGAAGUUAACUGGUACCUUUACCAUGCUUCUGGAAAUAAAAUAAGAAGGGUUUGCUUAACAGAAUGUCACUCCUGCACCAAGACACCCUGCGCGCACACACACACACACACACACAUUCCACAUUGACAGAGUUAUUCCUUUUCAUAGACACUGCUUGACCUCUCGAGUUCCUCCAGCAUUUCGUGUGCGUUAAUUCUUCCCCCACACAGCGGGCUGAAAAUAUUCAUUCAAACAAUAUGCUGGCUGGCAUCCCAGAAUUACCGAGCCCUCGGUGAUAACUCUAGCACCUCAGACUCGGCUCUGUGCUUUCAAAUGACUGGCCUGCAUCAGCAGCAGCCAUUCACACAAAGCACUUUUUAUCCCGAGUACCUUUGCUUGAUUCAAUACAGAGGCUUUAUCAAUAACUAGACAGUGAGAGAGAAGAACCCAGCGCAAUCUACAAUACCUCUUAAAGUGGGCCCCUGGGUCAGUGCAGUGGGACCCAUCAUUGAUUAACCAAUUUACUAGUAAUGGAGCAGGCCAUUCCCAUACCAGAGGAGCUUUGGAAUAAGUUAAUGGACUUCCUGUGCAUCACAGAUUUUUUUUUUUGCUUUGGUCGGUUACUACAGAUAUGAUGAAAACGUUUUGAUCCCUUUACAAAGUGGAAGGAGGGGGGAGGCCGAAAUGCAGACACCACAUAAAGCGCACACAUGUUCAUAAACUGUAGGUUGCCGAAGUCAACUGGGAGUACAGCGAGUCUGGACCGGUGCCAGCUCGAUUGUGGCUGAACUUCCUCAGACAUGAAUCAGUCAGCGAUGAAAGAGAGAGACCGGAGUUAUGAUCCCAAAUUAACUUCUACACACACACACACACACACAACCAAGAUAUCUGCGCCUUACAUCACAAGUCCCGAGAAUAAUGGCGUCACUCACUCAACUGGGAAUUGGUUGGACUUUAAUUAAGAAACUUGCAAUGGACUAUUUAGUCUCAACAAGAGACAGCAAUUUGAAUCGAAUGUGUUGAUUUCCAAUCAAGUGAAGAUUUCUCUGCCCCACAGGAAUCUGAGAUUCAAGCACUGAUUAUCCCAGAUUAUCUAUUUGUUUCAAAAUAGUGUUUAACGUUCUCCGGCUUUGCUGGUGAGAUGGGCGGGUCUUCUUGCUUUGAAAUUUUUUAUAUAAAAAAAAGAAACUUCGCAUUUGUUAAUCGUGACCUUGGAAAAAUAUUUCACGCCCGAUGAAGUCCCAAACUUUGAAGCGCCUGCCCCGCAGUAAGCUCCCACAACAUGAGAAGAGGGCGGCGCGGCACGGGGUGGGGGGUCUUCUGCAGAUCGGUCCUAAUUCAGCGAGCAGACACGGCCACGGUGUAUCACUGGAUCUGUGUGACCCCUGCGGACUCUAAGUUAUCAGGCAAGAUCCGAGGAUCGCACCUCCAGAGGUGCGAAUCCACAACCUCCAACCCUCAAGAGAAACCACAGCACCACGAGCGUGACCCAAAAUUCACCAUAAAUUUGAUGUCCAACAUUUUUUUGAACCCACCGCACAUUAUUUUUAUUACAGAUCGGCACCACGUACAUCUUCAGCUAGACAACCCGAGGGUCAACAUCCACAAAGCCUGCAGGCUAUGAGGUCACCUGCGACAAAAAUCAGUUCAUCAGCAGCAAACGAAAUAACAUUCACUUCAGCCAGAGCGGAGGGACCCCGCGUCCUUUGAUUUUCGCACCCCUGAACUCUGAGCACGGCUGAAAUAACCAGCAUCCAAUGGUGCCCGUGAUAAAGCCAGUAAAAGCCUACAUCUCGCCUCACGUCUCGGAGGGUUAUUGAUGGUGCGUCAUGGGGCAGGAGGAGGAGAAUCCUGCAAUCCCACACGACCAGGUUGAAGAGCAGAAUCAGAAUCUGCUUCGACACCAUCGGCGUACGUCGCGAGAUUCGUUAACCUUGCGACUGCAGAGCAACGCCAUACAGAGUCACAGAAAGACCCUGAACUACACUGAGAAUUGGAUGGCAGAGGGGAAGAAGCUG